Long non-coding RNA from Cornus florida, 3148 nucleotides. RefSeq lists it as uncharacterized. The transcript has 4 exons. Lineage: Eukaryota; Viridiplantae; Streptophyta; Magnoliopsida; Cornales; Cornaceae. The record is from RefSeq and is a predicted model, not a curated record.
CCACACGAAAGAGUUUUGAAAAUUAUUUUCGAGCAUCCGAGAAGACACUAUGUGACAAGAAACAGAGGUCAAAAAAAAAAAUUAAAUUGAAAAAAUUUAUCCAUAAAAUUUCAGUAAAAAAAGAAAGCAACGCAAAUGCCGGAUGGUUACAAAACUACAAAAAUCUACAAGAAUUAGAUCAGUCUCCCAAAUCGCCUACAUCUCUAUUCUCGUUCUCAACUCUGAACUUGCCCUCUCUCUGUCUCUGCAACUACAACCUACAAAAUCUACAACAAUCAGAACCCAUAUCGGCAUAUCAUUUCAGAUUGUUUAUAAAAUUAAAACCCAUAUCCUUCAGUUUCCGUCGCCCGCUGUUCCAGUUCAGGUUCGCCGUUCGAAAGCUUCAGCCUCAGGCCCAUUGUCUCUCAACUCUCAAGCCCUCUCUACUCUCUCAUAAGGAUGAUGUUGAGUAACGACUUGAAGAUCGGCAAUCGACCAAAAUGUUGAGUAAAUUUCUAGGGUUUUUGAGCCUUGUCUCACAUGGUGAUUGAUUAACAAAAAAAACCCUAGCGAUAUCUGUUUUCUCUCUCUAGGGUUUUUAUCUCAGAUGGAAGGCGUCGAUGAUGAUUUCGGCGAUAUAUACGCAGAUGUUGAAUUUUUGCUUAAAUAUGACCUAGAAAAUGAAGAAGCUGAUGAACAGAGGAUUUAGAAAGCCUUCAUCCUCUUCAUCCUCUUCUGUUUUUACUUCAAUUUCCUUAUCUAAUUCUGAUCCUCGUAACCUUCAAUAGAGUUCGAACCGUUCUUUGUCUUCUACGUACCAAUUCUGUUUGUGAACAAAGAAUUUAGAAAGCCAGCAAGUUGGCGGCCAGGUUGAAUUUCCAUUGAUCCACCUAAAUUACACUUUUAGGUGCCUCCUCAAGAGCAUUGUUGUCGGCAUAAACAAAACAACGCAUAGAAGAGAACAACCCAUCCAAGGAAGUACUAUAACAGUUUAUAACUGAUCCGAUUGCUAUGAUUGUAGUCUUACUCUAUUGCCAUUUACUCUCUCUCCCUUUUUUUUUUCUUGUAAUUUAAUGAAAUACAUUGUAUGAUUGUAUUACUCUCUGUUAUUAUUAUUACCACCAGGUUCACCACCACCACCCCAUGAUUGGCAUUGCAUUAGCUUUAGGCUUCUAAUCAUAUAUAUACACUAUCUCAUUUUUUAGGCUAUAGGCUAAAGGCCAGUAGGAAGGUGAAUGGUAAGGUUAUGGAAAUGGGUUUUAAAGUUGGUUAUGUAGUUUGAAGUUCCUAUCUAUGAAGUUGCAUUCCUCUGAUGUAUAUUUGGGUGCUUUCCAUAAAAUAUCCCUUGCCCAUGGAUUUCAAAUGCUCUUUAGGAACAAGACUGGCCAAGAAUGGGUGGCCAUAGGCCAUGAUAACCAUAACCAUAAUCCAUUCCUUUAGAGAGUGUGAUAAGUAAAGAUAUGAGUCAGCAUACUUCUUAUUUUCUUUUUCUUUUUCCUUCUUUUUAUCACAACUUGAGGGGGAUCUUCAUUGUAGUAUUCUGUUUCUGCCCCAACUAAUUCUGGAUUUAAUUUUGGUGCCUUUUCUCGAUAUUUAUUUUAGUGUCUUAUGAUUCUAUCUUGUGUGAAUGCACGUCGUACAGUUUCAAAAUGUUAUCUUCAAUUGAUGAGAGAAUUACUGGUUUAUUUUUUGUUGUUCUUUAUUCUUUCAACUUAUUUUAAAUAGAAGAAGACAAGCAUAGUUUGAUAAUCCUUAUAAAAUUUAAUUGUCAUGGCAGGCUUCCUUACUUUCACUUCUACCAACGCACCUGCUGAAAAUAUCAGAUGUCACAAAACUGACUGCAAAUGCUUUGGCUCCGCUUGUCAAUUGUUUUCAUAAUAAUUUUCAUAUUAGAACUCCAUGAAGUACAAAGAGAUCAUUUCAUUCAGCCCUCGCAUUUGCUCUUGAGACUCGUGAAGGGACUCCAAAUGAGGUGGCUGCAUUAUCUGCUGCACUAUUCAGAGCUUUGAAUCGUACAACCCGGUACGGUGUUAUAACAAAACUGAGAAUGGUAUUUUCUUUCUUUUUUUUUUUUCAACAAUCAACACCUUUUUUUAUUGUUUCCUUUUGUUGCUUUUGUUAUUUUAAAAAUUAGGUUUUGUUUUCUCUUUUUCUAUUCCUCUUUAUUUAUUUCCUUAUUUUCUGCAUGAACAUCUUGUCCUACACUGUAAGCAAUGAGAUUGCAGCAUGAGGCAUGCUUCUUCAUACUUCUUUUUACAUAAAGCUCAUCUGGAUAUAGCAUGUUAGCAUCACUUACUUCCAAUGUGAAAACGCUGUUUGCUCCAUGAAACAAAAAGGGCUUUGAUGUGAUUUGAGUUAGAAAAUUUACUAGGGUGUUUAAGGAAGUUAAAUUGCACAUAUAUAUGGUAAGGCAGUGAAACCUCUUUGAAGAGGUCAUAAUUUUAUUUUUUCUUUUUCCAUCUAUAAAUCUUUACUGCUAUAUGAAGCCAAUCUUUGCUUUAGUCUUGUCUUCUGCUUGUAGAAUUUUCUAAAGUGACAUUAGGCUUCAUUUUGAAAUCACUUCCACAGUUGCUAGGUUCACGUAGUCUCCUUUCUGUGACAGACCGACAUGUUUAAGGUGUGUUUCUGUCUAGCAUAAAUAUGAUGAUGAAGAUAUUGGUAAAAUUUAUUAAAAUACUAUAGUGCUAUACAUUGUUAAAAUAUGUGUAUCCUUCUUGGCAUUCUUAAUGGAUUAUAUUUUACCUAUCGAAGAGAUAUAUGUUAAAAAAUCAUAUACAAAUGAUGAGAUUUGAGAAUCUAUAUCCUGUUAUGCUCUUUCUUAAAUUGUUACUAUAGUUUAGGACUGAUUUGCUUUUUAGAUGUUGGUUGUUGCUGGUGCUCCUUAUGAUACAAGAGGAAGUUAUUGGUAUCAAAGACUCAUGCGCUGGGUUCCCUGAAAGAAUUUGGAGUGAACUACCGGGAAAUUCCAUUGAUAUAUAUAUAUAUAUAUAUUUGUUUAAACUAUCGGGAAAUUCCAGUAAAUGAAGAUGGUUGGGCAAGCUUGGCGGUGCUACUUCUUUUUGCAAUCUUUUGUUAGCACUUGGUUUUUUUUUUAUUUUUUUUUUUUAACAAUGAUGGAGACUUUGUACUCCAAAUUAUUCAAUGAAUGUUUUGGAUUAAUUUUUGGUGA